UCUCAGAUCGUAUAAUGGUUAUUAUCCCCGCCUGUCACGCGGGAGACCAGGGUUCGAUUCCCUGUCUGAGAG
Molecule: non-coding RNA, 72 nt
Organism: Amoeboaphelidium occidentale
Lineage: Eukaryota; Fungi; Aphelidiomycota; Aphelidea
Source: the annotation of a GenBank genome assembly